UUUGAAUGGUGAUACCAGCGUGCGGU
Molecule: non-coding RNA, 26 nt
Filed under: Homo sapiens (human)
Lineage: Eukaryota; Metazoa; Chordata; Mammalia; Primates; Hominidae
Source: RNAcentral